Molecule: long non-coding RNA, 498 nt
Filed under: Eutrema salsugineum
Lineage: Eukaryota; Viridiplantae; Streptophyta; Magnoliopsida; Brassicales; Brassicaceae
Description: long non-coding RNA (ESAL_LNC000009)
Source: RNAcentral
GUGAAGCGAAGAAAGAAAUAGUGAAAGUGAUAACAGUUCAAGAGACUAGUAAGCGCCACGUGUCAAUAUAACAUUUGCUUAGACUGUAAAAUUCCUCAAUGAGAUUCUCUCCGUGUCGUUUGCACCUUUUAUAAAUCUUGCACUCGUUGUCUUCCUCUUCCCCCAACCUUCAAAUUUCUCUCCCCAUUCUCUAAUAAGUAAACUCGUAACCUUUAAUCAAAGGCUUUACAAGCAUCAUCACGGCAACAAACCCUUGAAUCCGAAAUUGAGUUUGUGAAAUUUGGAUAAUCGAGAAUGAAAGGGGGUUUGCUUGUGGACGAUGAAUUCAUACAAAGAGAAGAGAAGAACCUGACUGUUCGCAAAACUUCUCUCUUUUUCGCCGGAGAUGGUUUCACGGUUUACGACUGCAAGGGCACUUUGGUCUUUCGGGUGGACUCAUACGGUGGUCCCAACACCCGCGACACCGACGAGGUUGUCCUCAUGGACGCUCACGGUCGU